CCUACGGGCGGCAGCAGUGAGGAAUAUUGGUCAAUGGGCGAGAGCCUGAACCAGCCAAGUCGCGUGAGGGAAGACGGUCCUAUGGAUUGUAAACCUCUUUUGCCGGGGAGCAAAAAGCGGUACGUGUACCGCAUCGAGAGUACCCGGAGAAAAAGCAUCGGCUAACUCCGUGCCAGCAGCCGCGGUAAUACGGAGGAUGCGAGCGUUAUCCGGAUUUAUUGGGUUUAAAGGGUGCGCAGGCGGCGAGUUAAGUCAGCGGUAAAAAUGCGGUGCUCAACGCCGUACAGCCGUUGAAACUGGCAGUCUUGAGUGGGCGAGAAGUAUGCGGAAUGCGUGGUGUAGCGGUGAAAUGCAUAGAUAUCACGCAGAACUCCGAUUGCGAAGGCAGCAUACCGGCGCCCGACUGACGCUGAGGCACGAAAGCGUGGGUAUCGAACAGGAUUAGAUACCCGAGUAGUC
RNAcentral lists this ribosomal RNA (459 nucleotides) under uncultured bacterium. RNAcentral describes it as "partial 16S ribosomal RNA". It matches the Rfam family "Bacterial small subunit ribosomal RNA", at positions 338 to 795 of the family's 1533-position model. The record is from RNAcentral.